GGAAUAUAGCUCAGUUAGUAGAGUGCUUGCCUCACAUGCACAAGGCCCCAGCGGGGUUCAAUCCCCAGUACCA
This 73-nucleotide transfer RNA is filed under the name Marmota monax (woodchuck). RNAcentral's name for it is "tRNA.Val". The record is from RNAcentral. Lineage: Eukaryota; Metazoa; Chordata; Mammalia; Rodentia; Sciuridae.